AAUAUUUCACAAUGGGGGAAACCCUGACGCAGCAACGCCGCGUGAGCGACGAAGGNCGNNGGGUCNUNAAGCUCUGUCUAGUGNNNNNAAUGUUGACAGUACCUCUGGAAGAAGCCCCGGCUAACUACGUGCCAGCAGCCGCGGUAAUACGUAGGGGGCAAGCGUUGUCCGGAUUUACUUGGCGUAAAGGGCGCGUAGGCGGUAGUUUAACUCAGAUGUGAAAGUCCAGGGCUCAACCGUGGAAUUGCAUUUGAAACAGAAUUACUUGAGUGCAGGAGAGGAGAGCGGAAUUCCUAGUGUAGAGGUGAAAUGCGUAGAUAUUAGGAAGAACACCAGUGGCGAAGGCGGCUCUCUGGACAGUAACUGACGCUGAGGAGCGAAAGCGUGGGGAGCGAAC
This 397-nucleotide ribosomal RNA is filed under the name uncultured bacterium. RNAcentral describes it as "partial 16S ribosomal RNA". It matches the Rfam family "Bacterial small subunit ribosomal RNA", at positions 360 to 773 of the family's 1533-position model. The record is from RNAcentral.